This 504-nucleotide ribosomal RNA is filed under the name uncultured bacterium. Its description in RNAcentral is "bacterial SSU rRNA". It matches the Rfam family "Bacterial small subunit ribosomal RNA", at positions 32 to 507 of the family's 1533-position model. The record is from RNAcentral.
AACGCUGGCGGCGUGCCUAACACAUGCAAGUCGAACGGAACUUUUUAUCCAGAACUUUUCGGAGGGAAGGAUUUAAAGUUUAGUGGCGGACGGGUGAGUAACGCGUGAGUAACCUGCCUUACAGAGGGGGACAACAGUUGGAAACGACUGCUAAUACCGCAUAAAGUAUCCAGUAGGCAUCUACAGGAUACCAAAGGAGCAAUCCGCUGUAAGAUGGACUCGCGUCCGAUUAGAUAGUUGGUGAGGUAACGGCUCACCUAGGCGACGAUCUCUAGCUGGUCUGAGAGGAUGAUCAGCCACAUUGGGACUGAGACACGGCCCAGACUCCUACGGGAGGCAGCAGUGGGGAAUCUUCCGCAAUGGACGAAAGUCUGACGGAGCAACGCCGCGUGAACGAUGACGGCCUUCGGGUUGUAAAGUUCUGUUAUACGGGACGAAUGGCGUAGCGGUCAAUACCCGUUACGAGUGACGGUACCGUAAGAGAAAGCCACGGCUAACUACGUG